UCCGUAGGCGGUGUGGCAAGUCGGUAGUGAAAUCUCUCGGCUUAACUGAGAGGCUGCUGCCGAAACUGCCAUGCUCGAGUGCGAGAGAGGCGAGUGGAAUUGCGGGUGUAGCGGUGAAAUGCGUAGAUAUCCGCAGGAACAUCCGAGGCGAAAGCGGCUCGCUGGAUCGCAACUGACGCUGAGGGACGAAAGCUAGGGGAGCAAACAGGAUUAGAUACCCUGGUAGUCCUAGCCCUAAACCAUCAGGACUUGGGGUUUGCCCUGUACGGGGCAAGCCCCGGAGCUAACGCGUUAAGUCCUGCGCCUGGGAGUACGGUCGCAAGGCUAGAA
Molecule: ribosomal RNA, 330 nt
Filed under: uncultured bacterium
Lineage: Bacteria
Description: bacterial SSU rRNA
Rfam family: Bacterial small subunit ribosomal RNA
Source: RNAcentral